AAAAAAUAAGCGCCAGGACAUAAUAAAUUUAUGUUGACGAGGUCCUAGGUUAUCGAAAUAUUCGGCGGAUGCCUUGGUGGUAUUUACUUUACCAAAGAUUUAGUUAAAAAAUAAUGGUGACAUUAUAACAGACAUUAAAUU
This 141-nucleotide non-coding RNA is filed under the name human gut metagenome. RNAcentral describes it as "glmS glucosamine-6-phosphate activated ribozyme". It matches the Rfam family "glmS glucosamine-6-phosphate activated ribozyme aptamer". Rfam says of the family: This entry contains a glucosamine-6-phosphate activated ribozyme that is found in the mRNA for GlmS. GlmS is an enzyme that uses fructose-6-phosphate and glutamine to generate glucosamine-6-phosphate. The ribozyme catalyses self cleavage of the glmS mRNA that is thought to regulate GlmS activity. The record is from RNAcentral.